GUACGGCUUGACGAUUGUGUGGCACACCACAAAAGUGUCAAGUGUUGUUACAUGACUACGAGCAUAAGCUAAAAGCGGACGUUCAACUUUUAAAAAUGAAAUAAUCCAAUACUGAAUUUCAUUUUGUUUGCUUUUUCAGUUACUCUUGUGAAGGGAUUUUGAUGAAACAAGUACCUGCACACGUAAAGUUGGAUAACCAGUUUAUGAAGAAAAUGUGCAUGGGCAUGCUCUCGUAUUUCAGUUAAGUGGAAAAAAAGCUGCACAUCAGACGUAACAUGGAUACGUCCUUGAUUAUUCAAUUGCACAUUCACCUCUUGGACUACACUGCUACAGCAGCAUUGCACUACAAUGCACUGCAGCAGCACUAAUAUAGAAACUUCACUUUUUCCUCCUACUUGCUUAGACCAUAAUCCAAUAAAGUCGUCUCAGCAUAAAUAGAAAACCAGACAUAUUAUGGGAAAAGGUUUUCAAUUUCAUUAGGUGUGGAAUAAUACCACGAAUGUAAACGGUUAAUUCCAGGGAAUUACUUUACCUUCCCAGUUUAUCAUAGAAUACAUAAGAAGUGUUGAAGUAAUGACAAUAUUGCAAAAGAAUUGUCAUACGACACGACGAAGCAAAGAAAUUAAAUUGCACGAUGAUGACAUUUAAAACUAUCGGAAAACUUCUUUUUAUUGGGUGAUUAAUAGCUGGGGAUUAGUUCCAACGCUUGUAGACGUGUUUCUUUCGUGGUUAAAAAGUAUUCAGUAGAAUAGCUGGAAUCUAUAAUCUUGUUCGCUUUUUAAUUGUGAAUCGU
Eupeodes corollae is the source of this 793-nucleotide long non-coding RNA. RefSeq lists it as uncharacterized. NCBI's taxonomy places the organism in Eukaryota, Metazoa, Arthropoda, Insecta, Diptera, Syrphidae. The transcript is spliced from 3 exons. The record is from RefSeq and is a predicted model, not a curated record.